RNAcentral lists this ribosomal RNA (767 nucleotides) under uncultured Streptococcus sp. RNAcentral's name for it is "bacterial SSU rRNA". It matches the Rfam family "Bacterial small subunit ribosomal RNA", at positions 28 to 776 of the family's 1533-position model. The record is from RNAcentral. Lineage: Bacteria; Bacillati; Bacillota; Bacilli; Lactobacillales; Streptococcaceae.
GACGAACGCUGGCGGCGUGCCUAAUACAUGCAAGUAGAACGCUGAAGAGAGGAGCUUGCUCUUCUUGGAUGAGUUGCGAACGGGUGAGUAACGCGUAGGUAACCUGCCUGGUAGCGGGGGAUAACUAUUGGAAACGAUAGCUAAUACCGCAUAAAAUUAAUUAUUGCAUGAUAAUUAAUUGAAAGAUGCAAUUGCAUCACUACCAGAUGGACCUGCGUUGUAUUAGCUAGUUGGUGAGGUAACGGCUCACCAAGGCGACGAUACAUAGCCGACCUGAGAGGGUGAUCGGCCACACUGGGACUGAGACACGGCCCAGACUCCUACGGGAGGCAGCAGUAGGGAAUCUUCGGCAAUGGGGGGAACCCUGACCGAGCAACGCCGCGUGAGUGAAGAAGGUUUUCGGAUCGUAAAGCUCUGUUGUAAGAGAAGAACGGGUGUGAGAGUGGAAAGUUCACACUGUGACGGUAUCUUACCAGAAAGGGACGGCUAACUACGUGCCAGCAGCCGCGGUAAUACGUAGGUCCCGAGCGUUGUCCGGAUUUAUUGGGCGUAAAGCGAGCGCAGGCGGUUAGAUAAGUCUGAAGUUAAAGGCUGUGGCUUAACCAUAGUAUGCUUUGGAAACUGUUUAACUUGAGUGCAGAAGGAGAGAGUGGAAUUCCAUGUGUUGCGGUGAAAUGCGUAGAUAUAUGGAGGAACACCCGGUGGCUAAAGCGUCUCUCUUGUUCUGUUACUGACGCUUAUGCUCGAAAGCGUGGUGGAGCAACUGG